GAAAGGUAUAUCUAACCUGGAACCUUGGGAAGAAGGCUGAAUCUUAUGGCUGCUGGACAGAGAUGUUCGCCUACGCAAGAAUCUGCCUUCUUCCCAAAGUCUCGGUUAGGUGUACUUUUC
Non-coding RNA from Marchantia polymorpha subsp. ruderalis, 120 nucleotides. The record is from the annotation of a GenBank genome assembly. NCBI's taxonomy places the organism in Eukaryota, Viridiplantae, Streptophyta, Marchantiopsida, Marchantiales, Marchantiaceae.